CGCGGAGCCAAUCGGAACUCGCGGCGGGGUUGCUGGGUCUUCCAGGAUCGCGCAUUAGCGGACGCUGGCUACGGGUGGCCGGGCGGGAUGUAACCGGCUGCUGAGCUGGCAGUUCUGUGUCCCCAGGCUUCGGCCCGGCCGCCGCCGCACAUAAACUGCGAGGAGGAGCUUUACGACUUCUCGGUCUUCGGGGCCGGGCGCAGCAAGGGCCAGACUCUGCGCUAGCAGGCGCUGCGCGCCAACCGGCCGGCCCCUGUCGCAGAAGGUGCAACCGAUCGCACUGUCGCGCAGAAGCUCCUCAAUGGCCAGCGCCAGCUGCAGCCCCGGCUGCCCACUCGCCUCACCUGAGCCUGGGUGGAACAAUCCAAAGUUUUAAUCAAAGAAGGUGGUAUUCAGUUGCUGCUUACAAUAGUUGAUACCCCAGGAUUUGGAGAUGCAGUGGAUAAUAGUAAUUGCUGGCAGCCUGUUAUCAAUUACAUUGAUAGUAAAUUUGAGGACUACCUAAAUGCAGAAUCGCAAGUGAACAGAUGUCAGAUGCCUGGUAACAGGGUGCACUGUUGUUUAUACUUCAUUGCUCCUUCAGGACAUGGACCGUUACAUAACUGAAGACUCCCACCUUCAGGCAGGAUUGGGUAGUACAUGUUUGUAACUACCUGGCAUUGCCUUUUGUUGAGACUUAAACCAUUGGAUAUUGAGUUUACAAAGCAUUUGCAUGAAAAAGUGAAUAUCAUCCCACUUAUUGCCAAAGCAGACACACUCAUGCCAGAGGAAUGCCAACAGUUUAAAAAACAGAUAAAGAAAUCCAAGAACAUAAAGUUAAAAUAUAUGAAUUUCCAGAAACAGAUGAUGAAGAAGAAAAAAAACUUGUUAAAAAGAUAAAGGACCAUUUACCUCUUGCUGUGGUGGGUAGUAAUACUAUCAUUGAAGUUAAUGGCAAAAGGGUCAUAGGAAGGCAGUAUCCUUGGAGUGUUGCUGAAGUUGAAAAUGGUGAACAUUGUGAUUUUACAGUUUUAAGAAAUAUGUUGAUAAGAACACACGCAGGACUUGAAAGAUGUUACUAAUAAUGUCCACUACGAGAACUAUGGAAUCAGAAAACUGGCAGCUGUGACUUAUCAUGGAGUUGAUAACAAGAAGAAUAAAGGGCAGCUCACUAAGAGCCCUCUGGCACAAAUGGAAGAAGAAAGAAGGGAGCAAGUAGCUAAAAUUAAGAAGAUGGAGAUGGAGAUGGAGCAGGUGUUUGAGAUGAAGGUCAAAGAAAAAGUUCAAAAACUGAAGGACUCUGAAGCUGAGUCUGCAGAUGUGGAUCCUGACUCCUGAGAGAAGUAGCUCACCGUGACGAAGCUGCGUUUGCUUUUAUCGAUUUGCAAAUCAAAGAAGGGGGACAUAUUGGGAGAAGGCCCCCCAAAAUCUGGCCAUAAACUGGCCACAAAACUGGCCAUAAAAUCUCUGCAGCACUGUGACAUGCUCAUGAUGGCCAUAACGCCCACGCUGGAAGGUUUUGGGUUUACCGGAAUGAAGGCAAGGAACACCUGGCCUGCCCAGGGCAGAAAACCACUUAAAGGCAUUCUUAAACCACAAACAGUAGCAUGAGCGAUCUGUGCCUUAAGGGCAUGUUCCUGCUGCAGAUAACUAGCCAGACCCACCCCUUUAUUUCAGGCCAUCCCUUCAUUUCCCAUAAGGGAUACUUUUAGUUAAUUGAAUAUCUAUAGAAACAAUGCUAAUGACUGGUUUGCUGUUAAUAAAUAAGUGGGUAAAUCUCUGUUCGGGGCUCUCAGCUCUGAAGGCUGUGAGACCCCUGAUUUCCCACUUUACACCUCUAUAUUUCUGUGUGUGUGUCUUUAAUUCCUCUAGCACCACUGGGUUAGGGUCUCCCCAACUGAGCUGGUCUCGGCACUUCUCUUUGCCUUAAAAACAGGUACAGCGGACCUUCCUGGCAUCAGAAAAAGGCCUCCAGAAAAAGAGACACAGGAACUGAUUUCAUCUGAAAUUGAAGAGACAAUCAGAGAAAAACUAUAGACCACUCAUGAUGGUUGUUAUAUGUGCUUGGCUGGGCCAUGGGUCCCAGUGUUUGGUGAAACACAGCAGCAGAUGUCCCUGUGAGUAGAUGUUGCUUUGAAGGUAUCUUUUAGAUGUGAUGAACAUUUGUCAUCAGUAGACUUUGAGUAAGGCAGAUAGCCCGUCACAAUGUGGAUGGGCCUUAUCCAAUUAGUUGAAGGCCUUUGAAAAAAGACUGAGAUCCC
RNAcentral lists this long non-coding RNA (2240 nucleotides) under Homo sapiens (human). RNAcentral's name for it is "LHRI_LNC1277.5". Lineage: Eukaryota; Metazoa; Chordata; Mammalia; Primates; Hominidae. The record is from RNAcentral.